This 484-nucleotide ribosomal RNA is filed under the name uncultured bacterium. Its description in RNAcentral is "partial 16S ribosomal RNA". It matches the Rfam family "Bacterial small subunit ribosomal RNA", at positions 29 to 507 of the family's 1533-position model. The record is from RNAcentral.
AGUGAACGCUGGCGGCAGGCCUAACACAUGCAAGUCGAGCGGCAGCGCGGGGGCAACCCUGGCGGCGAGCGGCGGACGGGUGAGGAAUUCGUCGGAAUCUGCCUUUUUGUGGGGGAUAACGUAGGGAAACUUACGCUAAUACCGCAUACGUCCUACGGGAGAAAGUGGGGGACCGCAAGGCCUCACGCAGAAAGAUGAGCCGACGACCGAUUAGCUAGUUGGUGGGGUAAAGGCCCACCAAGGCGACGAUCGGUAGCUGGUCUGAGAGGAUGAUCAGACACACUGGGACUGGGACACGGCCCAGACUCCUACGGGAGGCAGCAGUGGGGAAUAUUGGACAAUGGGCGCAAGCCUGAUCCAGCCAUGCCGCGUGUGUGAAGAAGGCCUUCGGGUUGUAAAGCACUUUUGUCCGGAAAGAAAUCCCUGGAGCUAAUACCAUCGGGGGAUGACGGUACCGGAAGAAUAAGCACCGGCUAACUUCGUG